This is a long non-coding RNA of Sapajus apella (tufted capuchin), 784 nucleotides long. RefSeq lists it as uncharacterized. Lineage: Eukaryota; Metazoa; Chordata; Mammalia; Primates; Cebidae. The transcript is spliced from 3 exons. The record is from RefSeq and is a predicted model, not a curated record.
AAGAAAAGGAAACUCUUAAAUGUUUACGCAAAACCUAACUACCAGUUUGCAAGCAUUUCAGGUGGUUGAAAAAGCAUAGGCUUGACAGGGAAGAAGUAUGGUAAGUAGAUAUACUAUUUCCAGUAAACAAAGCAGAGGUCAGUGACUUCUGAGGUCAUAAUCAAGAUAAAGAAUGCUUAUGGAUGCUUUGCGUAGAUCUCAGGUUUGCCAUUCAUUCAUUCCCUUUAUUUUUAAUAGGGGAAUUUUAAAAGAGGAGAAAGAACAGAGGGAAUUGAGGCUAAGAAGUAAAGAGAAAAGUAAAGUCAUUUGGACCAAAAGGGUUGAGAACCCUGGGGCAGAGAGAAAAAGGGCAUGGUAACGUUCAAGAACUAAAACAAGUCCAGAGUGGCUGGAACAUGGGGAAUAGGUACCUUCAGCUUUUUUGCAUCCAGAGAAGCUCUGAACCUGUAUCAUGAUCAUCCAUAUGCUGUGUGACCUUGUAUUAACUGUAGGAAGACAGUUCUUCUCUAAGGUAAUCCCAGGGUUACCUGAAACGUUCAGAAGAGCAACAGAUUCCUGGAGUCUUCUGAGUGCCAAAUGCCAAUUUCAAUGUUCCACUCUGGAAAAAAUAGGACAGGAGGAAUUAGAAGUCUCCGAGACUACAUUCUGCCUCUGUACUUCCCAAGACGGAGCUUCCUGGCUGCUGCUUCCUCCCACCCAAGAAUCUCCCCUCCACCUCUGUCCAUGCCCUGCUCCUAGAGUCUCCAUUUGAGAACAGGAAUGGAAUGGAGAGAAUGGAAGCCAA